RNAcentral lists this ribosomal RNA (554 nucleotides) under Axis porcinus (Hog deer). RNAcentral describes it as "partial 16S ribosomal RNA". It matches the Rfam family "Bacterial large subunit ribosomal RNA", at positions 1845 to 2623 of the family's 2925-position model. Lineage: Eukaryota; Metazoa; Chordata; Mammalia; Artiodactyla; Cervidae. The record is from RNAcentral.
AUUGGGAGGCCUGCCUGCCCAGUGACACCGUUAACGGCCGCGGUAUCCUGACCGUGCAAAGGUAGCAUAAUCACUUGUUCUCUAAAUAGGGACUUGUAUGAAUGGCCACACGAGGGUUUUACUGUCUCUUACUUCCAAUCAGUGAAAUUGACCUUCCCGUGAAGAGGCGGGAAUAUACUAAUAAGACGAGAAGACCCUAUGGAGCUUUAACUACUUGGCCCAAAGAAAUAAACCUCAUCGCUAAGGAAACAACAACACUCUUUAUGGGCUAACAGCUUUGGUUGGGGUGACCUCGGAGAACAAGAAAACCUCCGAGCGAUUUUAAAAGACUAGACCUACAAGUCGGAAUCACACAAUCGUUUAUUGAUCCAAAAAAAUUGAUCAACGGAACAAGUUACCCUAGGGAUAACAGCGCAAUCCUAUUCAAGAGUCCAUAUCGACAAUAGGGUUUACGACCUCGAUGUUGGAUCAGGACAUCCCGAUGGUGCAACCGCUAUCAAAGGUUCGUUUGUUCAACGAUUAAGUCCUACGUGAUCUGAGUUCAAACCGGAGAA